Quercus lobata is the source of this 162-nucleotide small nuclear RNA. RefSeq annotates it as U1 spliceosomal RNA. Lineage: Eukaryota; Viridiplantae; Streptophyta; Magnoliopsida; Fagales; Fagaceae. The transcript has a single exon. The record is from RefSeq and is a predicted model, not a curated record.
AUACUUACCUGGGCGGCGUGUAUGGGCGAUCAAGAAAGUCCAUGGCCUAGGUUGGUGACCUCCAUUGCACUUUAGGAGGGAUGUUAGCCUAAGGUCUCCCCAAGUGGGAGAGCCUACGUCAUUAUUUGUUGCCUUGGGGGCCUACGUUUGCGCGGCCCUGCC